GGAACAAACCAGCGGCGUCUCUGGUCGAUCGGUUGUCCGGCAGGGCAUUGCCGAGCAGCUACACGCUAACGGAUAAGGGCUGAAAGCAUCUAAGCCCGAAGCCUCUCCCGAAAAUAGGCAGCCAAUCCCCUUUUUGGGGACGAGGGCUCCCAUAGAAGAUGGGUUUGAUGGAGCCGGGGUGUACGCCGGAAGACUUCGGUCGACCGGUUUAGCCUGCGGCUUCCAACCGCCUGAGGUGUUGGGCCG
This 246-nucleotide ribosomal RNA is filed under the name Candidatus Bathyarchaeota archaeon. Its description in RNAcentral is "partial 23S ribosomal RNA". It matches the Rfam family "Archaeal large subunit ribosomal RNA", at positions 2759 to 2987 of the family's 2987-position model. Lineage: Archaea; Thermoproteati; Candidatus Bathyarchaeota. The record is from RNAcentral.